GGGUGAAUACUCAGUUGACGGUUCCCCGGAGGGGUUUCCGAACGAAAGUGAGGAUACCUUUAGUGGAGCUGAGGAAAGUCCACCCACCCCUCCAUUCGUGGAGGAAGCAGCCACUCGCGGCAGCGAGUUCCAGCAAUGGACGGCAACGUCACAGAAACGAAACGGCCUUUAAAAUGGGAUGAUGCAGUGAAGCUUCUGGCAACAGAGGUAAGUUAACCUGCUGACGCCUUUAAAGGAUGCGGUGAAACGGGCAGCCCUGGCUGGUGCAAGUUCGCAAAGAACGCUUAGUUAAAUACUGAGGCGGAUGGUCUGAAUAAGCAUCCGACAGAAGGUGGCUUAUUUUCACCC
This 348-nucleotide RNase P RNA is filed under the name Candidatus Woesearchaeota archaeon. Its description in RNAcentral is "RNase P RNA component". It matches the Rfam family "Archaeal RNase P". Rfam says of the family: Ribonuclease P (RNase P) is a ubiquitous endoribonuclease, found in archaea, bacteria and eukarya as well as chloroplasts and mitochondria. Its best characterised activity is the generation of mature 5'-ends of tRNAs by cleaving the 5'-leader elements of precursor-tRNAs. Lineage: Archaea; Nanobdellati; Candidatus Woesearchaeota. The record is from RNAcentral.